CCUACGGGAGGCAGCAGUGGGGAAUAUUGCACAAUGGGCGAAAGCCUGAUGCAGCAACGCCGCGUGAGCGAUGAAGGCCUUCGGGUCGUAAAGCCCUGUCCUCAAAGAAGAUAAUGACGGUACUUGAGGAGGAAGCACCGGCUAACUCCGUGCCAGCAGCCGCGGUAAUACGUAGGGGGCUAGCGUUAUCCGGAAUUACUGGGCGUAAAGGGUGCGUAGGUGGAUUCUUAAGUCAGAGGUGAAAGGCUACGGCUAAACCGUAGUAAGCCUUUGAAACUGGGAUACUUGAGUGCAGGAGAGGAAAGUGGAAUUCUUGGUGUAGGGGUGAAAUGCGUAGAGAUUAAGAGGAACACUAGUUGCGAAGGCGACCCGCUAGAAUGUAACUGACGCUGAGGCGCGAAAGCGUGGGGAGCAAACAGGAUUAGAUACCCCAGUAGUC
RNAcentral lists this ribosomal RNA (439 nucleotides) under uncultured bacterium. RNAcentral describes it as "partial 16S ribosomal RNA". It matches the Rfam family "Bacterial small subunit ribosomal RNA", at positions 338 to 795 of the family's 1533-position model. The record is from RNAcentral.